RNAcentral lists this transfer RNA (54 nucleotides) under Loxodonta africana (African savanna elephant). It matches the Rfam family "tRNA", at positions 10 to 63 of the family's 71-position model. From Rfam's summary of the family: Transfer RNA (tRNA) molecules are approximately 80 nucleotides in length. The record is from Rfam by way of RNAcentral. Lineage: Eukaryota; Metazoa; Chordata; Mammalia; Proboscidea; Elephantidae.
GUUUAGUAGUAAAAUUCUUGCCUUGCAUGCAGGAGAGCUGGGUUCAAUUCCCAG